UAUUAAAAUUUUCAUCCAUUUCUAUAGUCAAAAUUUGGUGCGACGACAAAAUUACCAGACAGUUACCCGUCACGUAUAACGUGUCCCUCAUGUUAAUGUAUAGGGACCAAUUCUUAAUUGUAGAAAUAAAUAAAUUUUUUAACA
This is a non-coding RNA of Gossypium arboreum, 144 nucleotides long. The record is from Rfam. Lineage: Eukaryota; Viridiplantae; Streptophyta; Magnoliopsida; Malvales; Malvaceae.